RNAcentral lists this transfer RNA (75 nucleotides) under Euryarchaeota archaeon RBG_19FT_COMBO_69_17. Its description in RNAcentral is "tRNA-Met". The record is from RNAcentral. Lineage: Archaea; Methanobacteriati; Methanobacteriota.
AGCGGGGUGGGGUAGCCAGGAUAUCCCGUCGGGCUCAUAACCCGGAGAUCGAUGGUUCAAAGGCGACGGAGGAUG